CAGCCGCCGCGGGAAUACGUAGGGUGCAAGCGUUAAUCGGAAUUACUGGGCGUAAAGCGUGCGCAGGCGGUUUGUUAAGACAGAUGUGAAAUCCCCGGGCUUAACCUGGGAACUGCAUUUGUGACUGGCAAGCUAGAGUAUGGCAGAGGGGGGUGGAAUUCCGCGUGUAGCAGUGAAAUGCGUAGAUAUGCGGAGGAACACCGAUGGCGAAGGCAGCCCCCUGGGCCAAUACUGACGCUCAUGCACGAAAGCGUGGGGAGCAAACAGGAUUAGAUACCCCCGUAGUCCCUGUCUCUUAUCC
RNAcentral lists this ribosomal RNA (301 nucleotides) under uncultured bacterium. RNAcentral's name for it is "partial 16S ribosomal RNA". It matches the Rfam family "Bacterial small subunit ribosomal RNA", at positions 509 to 809 of the family's 1533-position model. The record is from RNAcentral.